ACAUUUCAUUAAAUUUAGUAAAGACAAACUAAAGUAAAGAGAACAGAAACUAAAAAAUUCUUCAAUUUUUCCACUUGUAAAGGGGCAUUACCCUAGAAUGGUUAUCAAAGUGCUUGUAAUCACUAAAUGGUAAAGAUUGCUUUAAUUUAUCAGUUGGUAGUAAAGUGAAUAUUGCAUUGUAUAUUGCAUAUAGCAUUGAUUUAAGUUGAUUCAACUACUAUUCUGGACAAAGAAAGAUAACUCCAAUUUAUUGUCUUGAAACUACAAAAAUGCUUGUUUUUGGCCCUUUUUUUGCC
Molecule: long non-coding RNA, 296 nt
Filed under: Mytilus galloprovincialis (Mediterranean mussel)
Lineage: Eukaryota; Metazoa; Mollusca; Bivalvia; Mytilida; Mytilidae
Source: RNAcentral